RNAcentral lists this ribosomal RNA (277 nucleotides) under uncultured bacterium. Its description in RNAcentral is "partial 16S ribosomal RNA". It matches the Rfam family "Bacterial small subunit ribosomal RNA", at positions 29 to 329 of the family's 1533-position model. The record is from RNAcentral.
AGCGAACGCUGGCGGCAUGCUUAACACAUGCAAGUCGCACGGGCAGGGCAACCUGUCAGUGGCGGACGGGUGAGUAACGCGUAGGAAUCUAUCUCUGGGUGGGGGACAACCGUGGGAAACUACGGCUAAUACCGCAUGACACCUGAGGGUCAAAGGCGCAAGUCGCCUGGAGAGGAGCCUGCGUCCGAUUAGCUUGUUGGUGGGGUAAUGGCCUACCAAGGCUCCGAUCGGUAGCUGGUCUGAGAGGAUGAUCAGCCACACUGGGACUGAGACACGG